CUUAAAUUUGCUCAGUUGGGUAGAGCAUGGAGCUGAUAGCACCAAGGUUGUUGGUUCAAUCCCUAUAUGUAACU
This is a non-coding RNA of Taeniopygia guttata (zebra finch), 74 nucleotides long. The record is from Rfam. NCBI's taxonomy places the organism in Eukaryota, Metazoa, Chordata, Aves, Passeriformes, Estrildidae.